RNAcentral lists this ribosomal RNA (274 nucleotides) under uncultured bacterium. Its description in RNAcentral is "partial 16S ribosomal RNA". It matches the Rfam family "Bacterial small subunit ribosomal RNA", at positions 523 to 796 of the family's 1533-position model. The record is from RNAcentral.
AUACAGAGGGUGCAAGCGUUAAUCGGAAUUACUGGGCGUAAAGCGCGCGUAGGCGGUUUAAUCAGUCGGAUGUGAAAGCCCCGGGCUCAACCUGGGAACUGCAUUCGAUACUGUUAAGCUAGAGUAUGGUAGAGGGAAGUGGAAUUCCAGGUGUAGCGGUGAAAUGCGUAGAUAUCUGGAGGAACAUCAGUGGCGAAGGCGACUUCCUGGACCAAUACUGACGCUGAGGUGCGAAAGCGUGGGGAGCAAACAGAAUUAGAAACCCUAGUAGUCC